This 908-nucleotide long non-coding RNA is filed under the name Oryzias sinensis (Chinese medaka). Its description in RNAcentral is "lncRNA (ENSOSIG00000017080.1)". The record is from RNAcentral. Lineage: Eukaryota; Metazoa; Chordata; Actinopteri; Beloniformes; Adrianichthyidae.
GAGGGACUUGAGGAUGAUCUUUAAAUAGGUCAAGCAGGAGGAUGAGGAGGAUUUUCACGGAAGAAAUCUGCUUUAGCGGGCUUUGGGACCGGCUUUUCCGCGUUUUUUAAGUUCCCUGAUCUUAAAUACAACGUUGACUAAUGAGUGAAUGUUGUGUUUCAGGCAAACGAAAGCUAUCUGAUGAACGAGGAGCCCUCCAGAGGUCCUGGGAUGCCUGAAUGCUUCGUGGUGUCAGACUCUUACAGGGCGGGGUUACUGUAAGCUGCAGCAGCAUGGACUGAGAGAAGCAGGACGGCAAACGAUUGCAAUGCGGCACCGAGCUUCCAUCCAACUCCAAUAAGCUCUCCAGUCCUCCCUCCCAGUUGAACAACCAUGUACUCCCCGUACUGCCUGACACAGUAUUACCCCACUCACCUUCUAAACAAUGCCUUAGUGGUAAGUCCUGUGAAGUCGCUGUUUAUUCAGCAUUAGGUGUCUGUCUGUGUUUGUUUUUUGUCCUUUCUUUCCUCCUCAGUUUUCCCUCCCCGUUUGCGCUCCUCCCGCUGCGCCACUGAGGCGCGCGCGGGCUCCUCUCCACCUGGAAUAGCUCCUCUGCGCAGGAGACGAUGCAAAUGCGCGAACUUUCUGAUGACCUGCACGAUCCUGGCAGUGGGAAAAAAAUCCAGAAAUUUAGGUUUUACCAGAAAAAUACGUCUGACUAAUUACUAGUCAAUAACGCGCGCAGAGAGAAGAAUCCGUCAAUUAGCGGACAGAUCCUUCAAAGCUGUCCAAUGUAGAUUAUUUUCUCCACCUGUUAUUUUUCCUGACUAAUAGUCACAACUCCCAAAAGGCUUCGUUCUGCUUUUUACGUGCUGAAUGGCUGCAGAGGAUAAUAUUUUUCGUGCGUCACUGAGACAGGGGCGCAUCCA